Non-coding RNA from Odontomachus brunneus, 74 nucleotides. The record is from the annotation of a RefSeq genome assembly. NCBI's taxonomy places the organism in Eukaryota, Metazoa, Arthropoda, Insecta, Hymenoptera, Formicidae.
GCCUCGGUGGCCGAAUGGAAAGGCGUUCCGCCCGGAAAGUGGGGAGGUCCCAGGUUCGAGUCCUGGCGGAGGCA